Molecule: transfer RNA, 82 nt
Filed under: Burkholderiales bacterium GJ-E10
Lineage: Bacteria; Pseudomonadati; Pseudomonadota; Betaproteobacteria; Burkholderiales
Rfam family: tRNA
About the family: Transfer RNA (tRNA) molecules are approximately 80 nucleotides in length. Their secondary structure includes four short double-helical elements and three loops (D, anti-codon, and T loops).
Source: Rfam by way of RNAcentral
GCGCCCGUGGCGAAAUUGGUAACCGCAACGGCUUUAGGUGCCGUCGCCUUUUGGCUUGUCAGUUCGAGUCUGACCGGGCGCA